GCUCUCUAGGAUCUGCCCAACCCCUUUGCUGUGGUUCCUUAAGAGCUGUUACCUUAGACUUGUGAUAUGGGACCUCUGAAUCACUUAGCAGAUCAUCAUUUCUCACUUCUUCCCCAUCUCAAAACAUUUUCCCAGAAAAAAAAAAUCAAAGUACAUAUAGUUGCCUAAACAUGGCACAUCCUCUUAUGUAUUAUGCUAUUGUACAUGCAGCUACAUUUGCCCAGAUGAUGCUCUUAUCUACAUGCCUUCAAGGACACAGGUGUGCCUCCAGCUC
Molecule: long non-coding RNA, 274 nt
Organism: Condylura cristata (star-nosed mole)
Lineage: Eukaryota; Metazoa; Chordata; Mammalia; Eulipotyphla; Talpidae
Exons: 3
Source: RefSeq, a predicted model, not a curated record